AUUGCCACAACUUGAUGUAGUUGGACUUGUUCUUUCGCAGCAGGUUCGCGAGCUCCUUGGGGUUGAUUUGGGGACCAGGGAGGCUAGUUUGGAAGGUACUCCAACUAAGGCGGGAGUUCGACCGACCUUUGGGUCAUCCUUGGUUGGCUUUGGGAAGCCUUUAGAGACUUAAUUGGAGCAGCAUUGGGCUUCGUUGAGCCGUUGUGGGACUUCUUGUGGAUAAUUGGAGCCUAGUACUAGGUGGGUCGGACCUAACCAGAGCAAGUGAAACUCCUCUAUGUUCUAUAUGUAUUAUAGAAAUGGUCUUAUUGUGUGCUUAUGUGAUUGAUAAGGGCUCGACGUUCGUUAUCAUAAUGUUGAACAUAUUCGAAAUGAAGUCUCUAUAAAGUAGAGAACACUUUUACAUGAAAGUAUUUAUAUUCGUAUUCAAUUCAGU
Molecule: long non-coding RNA, 436 nt
Organism: Ananas comosus (pineapple)
Lineage: Eukaryota; Viridiplantae; Streptophyta; Magnoliopsida; Poales; Bromeliaceae
Exons: 3
Source: RefSeq, a predicted model, not a curated record